UACGUAGGUACCGAGCGUUAUCCGGAUUCACUGGGCGUAAAGCGUGUGCAGGUGGUUUGGUAAGUCGGGCAUGAAAACUCUUGGCUCAACUGAGAGACGCUGUCCGAUACUGUCAAACUUGAGGGUGUAAGAGGGAGGUGGAAUUCCGCGUGUAGUGGUGAAAUGCGUAGAUAUGCGGAGGAACACCAGUGGCGAAGGCGGCCUCCUGGUACACUACUGACGCUCAUGCACGAAAGCGAGGGGAGCGAACGGG
RNAcentral lists this ribosomal RNA (253 nucleotides) under uncultured bacterium. Its description in RNAcentral is "partial 16S ribosomal RNA". It matches the Rfam family "Bacterial small subunit ribosomal RNA", at positions 524 to 776 of the family's 1533-position model. The record is from RNAcentral.